This 598-nucleotide ribosomal RNA is filed under the name Stutzerimonas stutzeri. RNAcentral's name for it is "bacterial SSU rRNA". It matches the Rfam family "Bacterial small subunit ribosomal RNA", at positions 56 to 650 of the family's 1533-position model. The record is from RNAcentral. Lineage: Bacteria; Pseudomonadati; Pseudomonadota; Gammaproteobacteria; Pseudomonadales; Pseudomonadaceae.
UGCAGUCGAGCGGAUGAGUGGAGCUUGCUCCAUGAUUCAGCGGCGGACGGGUGAGUAAUGCCUAGGAAUCUGCCUGGUAGUGGGGGACAACGUUUCGAAAGGAACGCUAAUACCGCAUACGUCCUACGGGAGAAAGUGGGGGAUCUUCGGACCUCGCGCUAUCAGAUGAGCCUAGGUCGGAUUAGCUAGUUGGUGAGGUAAAGGCUCACCAAGGCGACGAUCCGUAACUGGUCUGAGAGGAUGAUCAGUCACACUGGAACUGAGACACGGUCCAGACUCCUACGGGAGGCAGCAGUGGGGAAUAUUGGACAAUGGGCGAAAGCCUGAUCCAGCCAUGCCGCGUGUGUGAAGAAGGUCUUCGGAUUGUAAAGCACUUUAAGUUGGGAGGAAGGGCAGUAAGUUAAUACCUUGCUGUUUUGACGUUACCGACAGAAUAAGCACCGGCUAACUUCGUGCCAGCAGCCGCGGUAAUACGAAGGGUGCGAGCGUUAAUCGGAAUUACUGGGCGUAAAGCGCGCGUAGGUGGUUCGUUAAGUUGGAUGUGAAAGCUCCGGGCUCAACCUGGGAACUGCAUCCAAAACUGGCGAGCUAGAGUAUG